Molecule: ribosomal RNA, 459 nt
Filed under: uncultured bacterium
Lineage: Bacteria
Description: partial 16S ribosomal RNA
Rfam family: Bacterial small subunit ribosomal RNA
Source: RNAcentral
CCUACGGGAGGCAGCAGUGAGGAAUAUUGGUCAAUGGGCGCGAGCCUGAUCCAGCCAAGUAGCGUGAAGGAUUACUGCUCUUCGGGUUGUAAACUUCUUUUAUAAAGGAAUACAGUGAGGCACGUGUGCCUUUUUGUAUGUACUUUAUGAAUAAGGAUCGGCUAACUCCGUGCCAGCAGCCGCGGUAAUACGGAGGAGCCGACCUUUAUCCGGAUUUAUUGGGUUUAAAGGUGCGUAGAUGGGUUGUUAAGUCAGUUGUGAAAGUUUGCGGCUCAACCGUAAAAUUGCAAAUUAUACUGGCAGUCUUGAGUACAGUUGGGGUAGGCGGAAUUCUUGGUGUAGCGGUGAAAUGCGUAGAUAUCACGAAGAACUCCGAUGGCGAAGGCAGCUUACUAAACUGCCACUGACAUUGAUGCUCGAAAGUGAGGGUAUCAAACAGGAUUAGAUACCCCAGUAGUC